CGUUGAUAGGUCGGGUGUGUAAGCGCAGCGAUGCGUUGAGCUAACCGAUACUAAUGAACCGUGAGGCUUAACCUUACAACGCCGAAGGUGUUU
Molecule: ribosomal RNA, 93 nt
Filed under: Enterobacter cloacae
Lineage: Bacteria; Pseudomonadati; Pseudomonadota; Gammaproteobacteria; Enterobacterales; Enterobacteriaceae
Description: partial 23S ribosomal RNA
Rfam family: Bacterial large subunit ribosomal RNA (bases 1-75)
Source: RNAcentral